Molecule: long non-coding RNA, 595 nt
Filed under: Brassica napus (rape)
Lineage: Eukaryota; Viridiplantae; Streptophyta; Magnoliopsida; Brassicales; Brassicaceae
Description: long non-coding RNA (BNAP_LNC020747)
Source: RNAcentral
UUGGUGAGUUUUAAUUACAAAUGGUCGCUAAUAUUGUGUAUGCAUGUGUAUGCAUAUUAUGAUCAUGUCUUGUAUGCAUGUGCAAGCAACAAAGUUUGGUAAAUAAAAAUUUUGGUCUUGAGCUUUUUGUAUGAGACUCUUUUUUUUUUUUUUUUUUUGAAUAAAGGGCUUUUAGCUUUUUGUAUGAGACUUAUUAACUAAUAAUUGGUCUUUAGGUGAAGAAUACAGGAAAAGAAUCUCUCCAAUGGGGUGAGUAUAUUCAUUUAUUUAUGCCAAUUCAACUUUUGUAAUUUAACCUUUAUUAUAUUCUUAGGCCAUGAUUAUCCCUAAACCGUUUUUUUGGGUUUCUUAUUUUUUUUUUUUUUCUUGAUUUAAAAAAAAAAAAUUUUAAAAGGUAUCCAACCGUGGGCUCCCACGUGUCAGUGGGGCCCGCAAACAGUACCAGAAACAGCAAAACUUCGAUCCUUCUUUGGCUACUUCUGUGACCGAUUUUAUCUUUUUGGUGGGGCCACCAUCGUUACUUUUCUUAGAAUCUUCACCCUAGAAACCGCGAUGUUGAUGCUGUUAAGGGUCGGGAUGUUAAUUGAUAUGGCAG